GAGCUGGGUUCAGAACGUCGUGAGACAGUUCGGUCCCUAUCCAUCGUGGGCGCAGGAGAUUUGAAAGGAGCUGUCCUUAGUACGAGAGGACCAGGAUGGACGCACCUAUGGUGUACCGGUUGUUCUGCCAAGAGCAUGGCCGGGUAGCUAAGUGCGGACGGGAUAAACGCUGAAAGCAUCUAAGCGUGAAGCCCCCCUUAAGAUAAGAUCUCCCAUCCUUAUGGAGUAAGACCCCUUGAAGACUACAAGGUAGAUAGGCCGGAGGUGGAAGCGCAGUAAUGCGUGCAGCUGACCGGUACUAAUAGGUCGAGGGCUUGAUCAAG
Molecule: ribosomal RNA, 323 nt
Filed under: Bacillota bacterium
Lineage: Bacteria; Bacillati; Bacillota
Description: bacterial LSU rRNA
Rfam family: Bacterial large subunit ribosomal RNA
Source: RNAcentral